GGAGGUUUGUGCUUGUUGGUUGUAUAGAUCAGGAUUACUGUAACCAGUGCAGAGGCUGAAGUUAUUUCUCCAAAUGACACUCUCAAGCUUCUAAGUUAUCACAGAGGACGGGUAUCUUAAUAUCAGCAGCUGAUGACAUACUCCAGACACGUCUGAAAAUGCUCUGCCCUGGAUUUGGAUAUAUACUAUUAAUGGCCUACAUGGGAAUGGUAGCAGCACAGUGUUGAAAAAAAGCAGUACUGGUCGUCCUACAGUAACUCCCAUGACAUCUGAUGAUGAUGACGCUGCGGAAGCAGGUCCAUCAAAAGAAGUCUGGAGCAGCAGAAGUCGGACUUCUGUAAAACACCACCAGUGGUGCAGGUAGAAAAAAUUUCUUACAGCUUCUAGUCCUGGUAACAGCAUCCCUCCGCAACAACAGCAACACAGUGACAUGGAUGAGACAAUCAUGUUAGAAAUGCAGCCAUUAAGCCAAGGAAUGAGCCCCCCAGCACCUGUGAGUACACCACCACAGCAAAGCACUCCACCACCAUAACACAGCCCAACAACACCAGUAACACAAGGCCCUGAUCACGUGUUUUGGAACAUUUGGGCUAGACAGCAGGCCACUAAUGAAGAUUGCCUGCGUAGGCAGACAUAAAUGUUUGCAAGCCUACCAUGUCACCUCAGAAGAUUAAACAGAAAUAUGAGUAGACAAAAUGAACAAACCACGAGAAUUGCCAAUACCAUGGAAAUCAUGCAUGCAGACAUUACACAGGUCAUGGCCAACUUACAGCGCAUAAUGGAAGAACAGCACAGACUAAUGGAAGAACAGCACAGACAACAGCAAAGCUAUAUGAACAUUUUUCAAAACAAUCAAAAGAUAAAUGAAAAUGUAUUCCGAAUUGUAGACAAUCAAAAUGCUGCUACACGUGAACUCAAUGCUACCCUCACUAACCUCAAUGAAACACUCAGAUCCAUGCACCAACAGCAAACAAGCAGCAGUUCUGGUACGACUACUCCAAAUAUCAUGCCAGUGUCAUCACCACCAAGACGCUCCACCAGAGCACGCCAACAUGACAGUGCUAAAGGCAAAGGGCAGGACAAGCAGCCACCCAAAAAAAAUUAACUAAUAAACCUCACAUUUUAUAUUUCAGAGAACUAAAUCAAAAUACUUAGUAAGUGUAUGUUUGUCAAAAUAGAUAUAACACUUAGCUCCUUGACAAUUUGUACAACAUCAUUAAUUAUAAGUGGUACAAACAACAACAGGAAAUUAGUACGCACAUUUAUUCUUUACCAUCUUUGAAUUUUUUUGGAGGAGGGAAAUGUUUGAGCUGCACAUAGAUGUUAGCAGGAAGUAACCAGACCACUUGAUUUUUUUUCUAAUCAUUACUCUUUCUAGAUUCCAAUCAAUCUCAGAUCUUGCAGACACAAUAAUUGGCAGCCAGCCAGAAUGUCUUUAGCAGGAAGUAAACAGAACACUUGAUUUUUUUCUAAUCAUUACUCUUUCUAGAUUCCAAUCAAUCUCAGAUCCUGCAGACACAAUAAUUGGCAGCCAGCCAGCCAGAAUGUCUUUAGCAGGAAGUAAACAGACCACUUGAUGUUUUUCUAAUCAUUACUCUUUCUAGAUUCCAAUCAAUCUCAGAUCCUGCAGACACAAUAAUUGGCAGCCAGGCAUAAUCAUCCAUGACCAAUGCAACUUACAAUGUGAAUUAAAACUAGUUUACAUUUCUUCUGUAGAUGACUUUACAAGAAAAACACAAUAGAGUUGUGUAAAAGUGUCCUAAUAUGUUUUUAAUUUUAAAAUUUUUAAAACCAAAAUGAAUGACAUUAUUGUUGUGGCAUGUUUGUGUGUGUAAAAAAUGAGUAAUCAUAUUUAAAAACCUGAGGCACAACCCACAAAAUGAAAAUUAUUUUAACUUUUAACACUAAUGUGUGUAAUAAUGGAUAUAUGUCGAAAAAUGUGUAUUGACUUUUAAAACUCCAAAUUUACUCCAGCAAACAUAAGGCAAUAAAUUA
Pseudophryne corroboree (corroboree frog) is the source of this 1995-nucleotide long non-coding RNA. RefSeq lists it as uncharacterized. The transcript is spliced from 4 exons. Lineage: Eukaryota; Metazoa; Chordata; Amphibia; Anura; Myobatrachidae. The record is from RefSeq and is a predicted model, not a curated record.